Long non-coding RNA from Bicyclus anynana (squinting bush brown), 1894 nucleotides. RefSeq lists it as uncharacterized. Lineage: Eukaryota; Metazoa; Arthropoda; Insecta; Lepidoptera; Nymphalidae. The transcript has 5 exons. The record is from RefSeq and is a predicted model, not a curated record.
GAUCAUACAACUGCGUGACACAGAAGUUGUCAAAGUCAAUCGCUAUAGAAACUAAUACCGAGCAGUGUUUUAAUAAAGUUUACUUGACGCCUGUGAUUCAAUAAUUACAAAUAAAAGUACUUUUAGGAUUUUUUUGAAUUUUGUACUAUACCUUGUAAGUAAGGUAUUAGUUUGUAAGUCAAUAAAAUCAGAAUUAGAAAAGUUUUUCAUGUAAAAUAUGACGAAAGUUGAGAAUAUAUAGUAGGUACCUACCUACAUACUUAUUUCAUAAAGCAGAAUUACAGUUUUAGAGUUAGUUGAAGUGAAUUUAAUUAAUUGUGUUAUUUUUGUAGUGUUUACCGACAUUGCCAUGUACAAUACAAUGCAUGUAGCAUUUGUAUUGUAAGCGGAAACGGAACGAAAAAGAUGUCUUUGUCGAGUUCAUUGCAAAACUUUCGUGUCGCGAUACCAGCAGGUUUUAGAAGAAAUACAAAGUCUUCGAACAACUGCUGUUCGCAAUGAAUUAGAGAUAAGUAAGUUAUAUGAAUGAAUGAAGGAAUUUUCUUCAUUCUCUGCGUUGAGCAAGUGACGUGGACUAUGGGCCUAACCCCUCUCAUUCUGAGAGAAGACUCGAGCUCAGCAGUGAGCCGAAUAUGGUAUUUUUAUAAGGUCUUGGCAGCUUUAAACUUUUAUGCCAAUGGAUCAUACAAAUGGCUUUGUGAUGGCUAAGGCAUCUUUUAGCAAAUGCCUACAUGAAGUCGCUGACGCUCCUGAAUACCCCAGCUGUUUACAAAAAAUGUGUUAAGUUCCCUUUGCAUUAAACACAAAAUCAUUAUAAAUAAAUAUGUAUAAUAAUAACAUAGUGGAUGCUCAAUUUGGUGGUGCAUCUUAUGACUUGUACAUAUGGAACCAGUGCAAUAAGACCACUUGAGGAAAACCUGCCCAAUAGGGACCGCUGUUGGUUGUUAGGUGACCAAUGUUUGCAUGAUGACCCCCAUCUUGGGAGCUGCUCCUAGAUCCCAUGAAGAUAUGCACAACAUUGCUGUGUCAGAAAUACGGUGGAGCCUUGUAGUUGGGUGCAUAUUGUAAAAUGUUUCCUCACUCCAAAACCAUGAACUCUGGUUUCCUAAACCCUCAAGCUAUGCAGCCGAAGGAGGAGACUUAUCACAGGAGAAUCACUAAUAAUUUUGAAGAAGUGAAGAGCUUAACAAUGUUUCAACCAACACCUAAAGAAGCUUUCACUUGGCUGUUAGAUCAAGGGCUGGAUACAGAAAACAGUAAUCCUUGUGAUGGCAGUAUUGUCCAAGGAUUCCUCACUCAAAACCAUGAUAACAAGUUGCUAGAACCCUCAAGCUAUGCAGACAAAGGACUGGAUAUAUUUUUUCGUGACCAAGCCUUCUGUAUAAUUAUUUAUACUUAAACCAUACAAAGCACUAUCUAGUAGGCAUACAGAGUAGCUUGUGUUGUGGGUACUAAGAUAGUUGAUAUUAUAAUAUUCAUUUACAUUUAUAUACUACCUAUAAAUACUUAUAUAAUGUAUAAAUACACACACACUGGAAAAAACCCAUGCUCUUCACACAAAUAUUUUCCAGGUGUGGGAAUCGAACCCAUGACCGUGGAUGCAGGAGCACUACUUACUGCGCCACGCGUAUGUGUUUUUAUUUUAAAGCAAAUUAUUAAAGUUGAUAAUUCAAAUUGUAGUCAUGUUUUUAAUUAAUCUAUAAUUAAUUUUUAAUUUACAUUUUGUUAAAUAUUUACCUAUACUUCAGUCUAUUUUUGUUAGAGGGGGUACCUAUAUGUGUAAGUAGGGUCGUUUCUUGAUUAAAUUAAACUAAAGAAUGAAAGAUAUAUAUUAUAACAAAAUUUGUCAACAACAAUAUAUCAAGUCUGAAUAAAAAAUACCAACACAAGUAAA